This 253-nucleotide ribosomal RNA is filed under the name uncultured bacterium. RNAcentral's name for it is "partial 16S ribosomal RNA". It matches the Rfam family "Bacterial small subunit ribosomal RNA", at positions 524 to 776 of the family's 1533-position model. The record is from RNAcentral.
UACGUAGGGUGCAAGCGUUGUCCGGAAUUAUUGGGCGUAAAGAGCUCGUAGGCGGUUUGUUGCGUCGGCUGUGAAAUCCCGAGGCUCAACCUCGGGUCUGCAGUCGAUACGAGCAAACUAGAGUGUUGCAGGGGAGACUGGAAUUCCUGGUGUAGCGGUGAAAUGCGCAGAUAUCAGGAGGAACACCGGUGGCGAAGGCGGUUCUCUGGGCAUGAUCUGACGCUGAGGAGCGAAAGCGUGGGGAGCGAACAGG